This 76-nucleotide transfer RNA is filed under the name Acidiferrobacteraceae bacterium. RNAcentral describes it as "tRNA-Val". It matches the Rfam family "tRNA". Rfam says of the family: Transfer RNA (tRNA) molecules are approximately 80 nucleotides in length. Their secondary structure includes four short double-helical elements and three loops (D, anti-codon, and T loops). Further hydrogen bonds mediate the characteristic L-shaped molecular structure. tRNAs have two regions of fundamental functional importance: the anti-codon, which is responsible for specific mRNA codon recognition, and the 3' end, to which the tRNAs corresponding amino acid is attached (by aminoacyl-tRNA synthetases). tRNAs cope with the degeneracy of the genetic code in two manners: having more than one tRNA (with a specific anti-codon) for a particular amino acid; and 'wobble' base-pairing, i.e. permitting non-standard base-pairing at the 3rd anti-codon position. The record is from RNAcentral. Lineage: Bacteria; Pseudomonadati; Pseudomonadota; Gammaproteobacteria; Acidiferrobacterales; Acidiferrobacteraceae.
GGGUGCUUAGCUCAGUUGGGAGAGCGUCGCCCUUACAAGGCGAAGGUCACUGGUUCAAGCCCAGUAGCACCCACCA